CUACGGGCGGCAGCAGUGAGGAAUUUUGCGCAAUGGGGGGAACCCUGACGCAGCAACGCCGUGUGAGUGAAGAAGGCCUUUGGGUCGUAAAGCUCUGUCAACUGGGAAGAAGUUACUGUGCUUUAAUAGAGUGCAGUAUUGACGGUACCAGUGGAGGAAGCGUCGGCUAACUCCGUGCCAGCAGCCGCGGUAACACGGGGGACGCAAGCGUUAUUCGGAAUUAUUGGGCGUAAAGGGCGCGUAGGCGGUCUUGUCGGUCAGGUGUGAAAGCCCGGGGCUCAACCCCGGACGUGCACUUGAAACAGCAAGACUUGAGUACGGGAGAGGAAAGCGGAAUUCCUGGUGUAGAGGUGAAAUUCGUAGAUAUCAGGAGGAACACCGAUGGCGAAGGCAGCUUUCUGGACCGAAACUGACGCUGAGGCGCGAAGGCGUGGGUAGCGAACGGGAUUAGAUACCCUGGUAGUC
RNAcentral lists this ribosomal RNA (465 nucleotides) under uncultured bacterium. RNAcentral describes it as "partial 16S ribosomal RNA". It matches the Rfam family "Bacterial small subunit ribosomal RNA", at positions 339 to 795 of the family's 1533-position model. The record is from RNAcentral.